UACGCGACGCUUACAGACUUGCAAAUAUCAUUUCUCCUUGAUUAGUAUUAGAAGCGAGACAUUGUGCGACAGCCACUCCGCCACAGCCGCCCUUGUCCCUGGACGCCAAAAACAAAAGCAGUAUACAACAAAGAAAGAAACGACAGUAGUAAUGAUACUGAAGAAGCUAAGCUAUCGAAGAAGAAGAAGAAAGUAGAUAUUGCACAUAAGAUUUCACAAAUAGUAAGAUGAAAACAGAAUCUUGAUCAAACCGUGCAUGGUGAUGUAUUCUGUUAUGGGAGAAGUUUCCAGAGAUGAGACACGUGGUGCUCUGUCAUUUGUGGUUGAAAUAUUCUGAUUCCAGAAUUUACUGGUCUGGUAGCGCUGUCGUGCAAUGCCCCUGCUUGCAUGAGGAAUCUUUUGCCGUGGCCCGUAGCUAUGCCUCGUGAAUUUUUUGUCUUGAUAGUAUCUGUUGCCGCAGCUAUGCCUUGUGAAUUUUCUGUCUAUAAUAUGCCCCUGCGAGUCAAGCAGCACCAGAGAGAUGGUGAGGCUUAAUUGAAGAAAAUUAAACCGAGCAGUGGAAAGGGACUUGGUAAAGAUGUAUGCAAGCUUAUCUUUACUUGAGAUGAAUGAAACUUUAAGUGCCUUGGCAUCUACAUGUUCUCGCACAAAGUGGUAAUCAUUAAUCAAGGUUAACAUGCUUAGUACGUGAAUGUAAGACAGGAUUUGCAAAUAAAUAUGUUACACCCAGAUUAUCACACCAAAGUAUAGGUGGAUCAGACAAAAAAAUACCAAGUUCACUGAGUAAGGAUUGAAACCACAGUAAUUCAUAAGUGGUAUUAGCAACA
This is a long non-coding RNA of Juglans microcarpa x Juglans regia, 827 nucleotides long. RefSeq lists it as uncharacterized. The record is from RefSeq and is a predicted model, not a curated record. The transcript has 2 exons. NCBI's taxonomy places the organism in Eukaryota, Viridiplantae, Streptophyta, Magnoliopsida, Fagales, Juglandaceae.